Molecule: non-coding RNA, 1293 nt
Organism: Salmo salar (Atlantic salmon)
Lineage: Eukaryota; Metazoa; Chordata; Actinopteri; Salmoniformes; Salmonidae
Source: RefSeq, a predicted model, not a curated record
GUGUGUUCCAAGAAUGGUCCACCGCUCAAAGGACAUCCAGCCAACUUGACACAACUGUGGGAAGCAUUGGAGUCAACAUGAGCCAACAUCCCUGUGGAACGAUUUCGACACCUUGUUGAGUCCAUUCCCAAACCAAUUGAGUCUGUUCUGAGGGCAAAAGGGGGGUGCAACUCGAUAUUAGACCUACAUCAGCUCUAUCUCCCAGAUGAGGUUUCUCCUGAGCAGCAGCACUGUGAGCAGGAGUGGAGCCCCAGUCUGAAGCAAGAGGACCCAGAGCCCUCACAGAUUAAAGAGGAACAUGAAGUCUGGACCAGUCAAGGGGGAGAACAGCUUAAAGAGCUAGAGUCUGAUACCAAAGAGUUAAUAUUCACUCCCUCUGUGGAAAAUCUGGAACCACCUCAGACCUCACAUCUUUUCCAAAUGCAAAUUGUGGUCUCACCCACCAGUACAACUAAAGAGAUCAAGAUGAAACCAUGUCACAUUGGUGAAAGCUCUUCUUGUCAUGUUUGUGGUAAAUGUUUUGACUGUAAAUCUGGUCUGGAAAGGCAUAUGAGAGCUCAUACUGGCGAAAAACCUUAUUGCUGCAGUGAAUGUGGCAAAUGCUAUAGUCAGAUAGGAAAUCUGACAGUGCAUAAGAGGGGACACACAGGGGAGAGAUCAUACAGAUGCUUUUUGUGUGGAGAAUACUUCAUCACAGCAUCCCAAUUAAAAUAAUAAUAAAAUAAAAUAAUAAAAUAAAAUAUAAUCACUCACACGCAGGGGAGUAAUAUAAUCCCGGGGCCAUCCAAAACCAAAUCUCGUUUGUGCACUGGUAACAGUCGUGAAACGAGGGAGGGACCGUAUCAGUGCAAGGAAUGUGUUAAAUCCUUCAGGCAGAAGAGGAACCUGUUACGGCAUAUGAGGAAUCACACAGGAGCAAUUAAUGCAGCAAAUGCUUCAACUGGAGUGGGAAAAAAAAAUAUUACAUGAUUUACAGAGGAGGAAAUGUAUUUUGUGUCCACAUUUUAAUGCUCCAGCAACGAAUUCAAAGAAGUGACAUCACAUCAGUGCAAGAACUUCAGAAAAUGGUUUAGAAAGAUUGGAUUUGGAUAUCUUGAAAAGUAAACGAGAAACACCUUAUUCACCAGAGGGAGGAAAUUUGAACGUGUCAUUUGUUUGGAUCACUAUGAGUUGACUAAUGGACUUGUAGAACAUUAUCAAAUUAUUACAUUAUCACAUUUGUUGUUUUUGGCGAGGAUAUUUAGGAUUUGUAUGCAGUCUCUAACUUUUGUGAAUAAAAGUUGUACAGCUGUA